UGAUAGAUGAUUUGUUUUUGACUCAGCUUAUAUUUAUAUUGUCUAUGGGAUAGCGCUUGAUAUACAUAUAUAUGUAUGACCUACAUUUUUAUUUCUUUUGGUUUAUUUGUGUCAUUAUAAUGCCCAAAAUGCCAAUAUUGCUCUUAGGUUGCCAGAGUUUAUUUUAUACUUCCAAGAUGUCAAUACUAUCCAUAGGAAGUGUAUUGUGAGCGUAUGAGGAUCUUAUUGAUUUUGUUACAUUUUAGGAAGUUUUAAUUCAACAAUUUUUUGAAAACAUGAAUUUAUUUAGCUUAGUUAUGUGAUUUGAAUAAAUGAUAUUUAUUUAGCUGACUUAUUCUAGCACAGCAGAUUAAUACUAUUAAGUACCAAAAUUUUAUCUGUUCUUUAUUUAUUAUUUAUUUAUCUGUUUAUUUGAGUAAUUGUAUUCACCCUUCC
Molecule: unclassified non-coding RNA, 435 nt
Filed under: Hevea brasiliensis (rubber tree)
Lineage: Eukaryota; Viridiplantae; Streptophyta; Magnoliopsida; Malpighiales; Euphorbiaceae
Source: RNAcentral